Molecule: ribosomal RNA, 161 nt
Filed under: uncultured bacterium
Lineage: Bacteria
Description: partial 16S ribosomal RNA
Rfam family: Bacterial small subunit ribosomal RNA
Source: RNAcentral
CGGGAGGCAGCAGUGAGGAAUAUUGGGCAAUGGAGGCAAAUCUGACCCAGCCAUGCCGCGUGCAGGAAGACGACCCUAUGGGUUGUAAACUGCUUUUAUACGGGAAGAAACCCAACUACGUGUAGUUGGCUGACGGUACCCGUAAGAAUAAGCACCGGUAA